Molecule: ribosomal RNA, 1217 nt
Filed under: Staphylococcus aureus M0426
Lineage: Bacteria; Bacillati; Bacillota; Bacilli; Caryophanales; Staphylococcaceae
Description: bacterial SSU rRNA
Rfam family: Bacterial small subunit ribosomal RNA
Source: RNAcentral
AGAGUUUGAUCCUGGCUCAGGAUGAACGCUGGCGGCGUGCCUAAUACAUGCAAGUCGAGCGAACGGACGAGAAGCUUGCUUCUCUGAUGUUAGCGGCGGACGGGUGAGUAACACGUGGAUAACCUACCUAUAAGACUGGGAUAACUUCGGGAAACCGGAGCUAAUACCGGAUAAUAUUUUGAACCGCAUGGUUCAAAAGUGAAAGACGGUCUUGCUGUCACUUAUAGAUGGAUCCGCGCUGCAUUAGCUAGUUGGUAAGGUAACGGCUUACCAAGGCAACGAUGCAUAGCCGACCUGAGAGGGUGAUCGGCCACACUGGAACUGAGACACGGUCCAGACUCCUACGGGAGGCAGCAGUAGGGAAUCUUCCGCAAUGGGCGAAAGCCUGACGGAGCAACGCCGCGUGAGUGAUGAAGGUCUUCGGAUCGUAAAACUCUGUUAUUAGGGAAGAACAUAUGUGUAAGUAACUGUGCACAUCUUGACGGUACCUAAUCAGAAAGCCACGGCUAACUACGUGCCAGCAGCCGCGGUAAUACGUAGGUGGCAAGCGUUAUCCGGAAUUAUUGGGCGUAAAGCGCGCGUAGGCGGUUUUUUAAGUCUGAUGUGAAAGCCCACGGCUCAACCGUGGAGGGUCAUUGGAAACUGGAAAACUUGAGUGCAGAAGAGGAAAGUGGAAUUCCAUGUGUAGCGGUGAAAUGCGCAGAGAUAUGGAGGAACACCAGUGGCGAAGGCGACUUUCUGGUCUGUAACUGACGCUGAUGUGCGAAAGCGUGGGGAUCAAACAGGAUUAGAUACCCUGGUAGUCCACGCCGUAAACGAUGAGUGCUAAGUGUUAGGGGGUUUCCGCCCCUUAGUGCUGCAGCUAACGCAUUAAGCACUCCGCCUGGGGAGUACGACCGCAAGGUUGAAACUCAAAGGAAUUGACGGGGACCCGCACAAGCGGUGGAGCAUGUGGUUUAAUUCGAAGCAACGCGAAGAACCUUACCAAAUCUUGACAUCCUUUGACAACUCUAGAGAUAGAGCCUUCCCCUUCGGGGGGCAAAGUGACAGGUGGUGCAUGGUUGUCGUCAGCUCGUGUCGUGAGAUGUUGGGUUAAGUCCCGCAACGAGCGCAACCCUUAAGCUUAGUUGCCAUCAUUAAGUUGGGCACUCUAAGUUGACUGCCGGUGACAAACCGGAGGAAGGUGGGGAUGACGUCAAAUCAUCAUGCCCCUUAUG